CCAACUUCAUCUUCAUCGCUGAAAAUCAGCAAUCAGCAGCCGCGACCCCACUGCCCAUAACGUCUUCUUCACGCAGUAAUCCGGGCAAACCCGAAAAUCCAGCAGUAAAUCCCGGCGCGACAGUGUCCGCCCAUACGUAUGUCACCCUCACGUCCAAUCGUCCCCAUUUUUCCCCUGUUUCGAGGUUUCAGAGCAACAACAACUCUCUAUUGCUUUUACUGUUGCCUCGAAAAGGAACGGGGGAUUCAAAAUUCAAAUGGAUUUUACCCAAAAAUCAACCCUAUUCUCGACUUUAUUUAAGAUCCCUUUCUCGUUGUGUCUAAGGGAGGGAGACGUUUUUUAGGGCUUGUUCUUAGACAAUACAUUCAAGAAAUUUUAAAACGAUUUUUCUAAUUCUAGGUACUAAGAAAGGUUUCGUCUGAAGUUACUUAGAAAUUCUUGGUUUGCUACUUGAGUCGAAGGUGUGCGAGAAGUCCUCUUGCCAGUCGUCUCCAGUAUCGCUGCUCCGAAAAAGGUAAUACCCCCUUCCCUACGAACUUCACUAUUCGUUUCCUAAUGGUUUGCAAUUCGUUUUGGUUAAUGAAGUUUCUUGGUUCUUAUUAAUAUGAGGAUCUCCUUGUACAUGAUUUUAAUAAAAGUACUUCAACUUUAUGAAUAUGUUAGGCAGUAGGUACUAACAUUGUACACUUCUUCCUGGAUUUAACUCGUGUGAUAGGAGCUUAGGAUGAAUAGGGUAAAAUCUGAAAUCUUGACUAAUAGAUGCCCUUCGUUCACUUAUUGAGAUGUAUGCUCCGUCAUGUGUGAAUUUAAUUAAAAAAGAUUGUACGUUGUUAGUUAACAUUGAUAUGAUCUUCACAUCCGAACUAAGUACGUCCGUAUCUUCAACAUGUGUUGAUUGAGUUUUUUUUUUUUUUUUU
RNAcentral lists this long non-coding RNA (917 nucleotides) under Solanum tuberosum (potato). RNAcentral's name for it is "long non-coding RNA (STUB_LNC000566)". Lineage: Eukaryota; Viridiplantae; Streptophyta; Magnoliopsida; Solanales; Solanaceae. The record is from RNAcentral.